Non-coding RNA from Taeniopygia guttata (zebra finch), 2963 nucleotides. The record is from RefSeq and is a predicted model, not a curated record. NCBI's taxonomy places the organism in Eukaryota, Metazoa, Chordata, Aves, Passeriformes, Estrildidae.
UGUUGACACGGCGAGGCGAUGCCCCCGUUUGCUUUUGUUUGGGAGGUGUGAAAGAGGGAAUCUGCAUGAGAAAAGCCGGCGGCAACCGCGGAGCUCCGCGCGGCAGCGGCGGGACGGAGUGAACCGCGGCUGCGAUUAAACCCGACCCCCCAAAAAGCCGGUGCCAGCGCAGGAGGGGAAGUGCACGGUGACAACGAAGCGGCGAGCCCCGAGUGUCACAGAGCGGCGACGCUCGGCCGUUUGUGCCACCGCUGCUGUCCCUGCCCGCUCGCACAUCAAAGCACAGCCAACAGAGCUGCCUGCGGGCUGUCCCCACCAGAGCCGGCCGGGACCCCCCGAGAAGAGCUGGGGGUGUCCCCCUGCCCGCCCCAGCGCUCUUUGUCUGCCUCAUCCUCUCCCGCAGCUCCCUCCCCUUCACCCCGCGCAUCCCCGCAUUCCUCCACGCGUGUGCUCACACCCACGGGCCCCAAACCCUCUCUCGGGAUCGCAUCCCCGUGCCACGUUACACGCAGAAAUGAGCCUUGCACACCCAUCUCCUGGCCCUGCCUUCUCUGACGUACCAGGCUCCGGGGGAGCUGAGCCAUCCCUCAGCCCCAUUUUUUACAGCAGGGGAUGGGGUUUGUCUCUCUCUGCACAGCUCGGAGGGCAGAGCCCUUUUUGGGGUGUCCUGGGAGCGGGGAUGGGGCUGGGAGCUGGGCCCGGGGGUGCUGGGCAGGGAUGGGAGAAUUCCCCCAUGGCCUCGGGGUAUGGGAAGGAUGCUCGGGACCUCUCUAACCUCAUCGGCUGCCUAAUGUGCACUUGUGCUGGCCGUGCUCCCACUGUCACUGUCACCCGCGCUGCUUUCUCGGCCCCGCAUUCCCGUCUCUCCAUCCCCGCUUCCCUCUGCUGCCAAAUUCUCGCUGGAAAUGCACACCUGCCUCCCUUCAUCGCAAUCAGGAGCACGAGAACAGCUCCGCUUGCUCUGGUUGAGGGAUUAUCCCAAGGAUAUCUGAGUAUUUUGGGUUUUCCAAGGUGUCUGGAAGACAGAGGAUCCAGAAGCAAGGUGCUCUGUGGGGCUGUGCAGGGUUUAAAGGGGAUCAGAGUCCCUGGGACUUGAGAAGCUGUUGGUUUCUUCCUUUUUUUUUUAUUUUAAUAUUUCUGAUAGGUUUUAAUUUUUUUUUAAUAUCAAGAGGGAAAAAAAACCCCAACAACCAAAAAAAAAACCAAAACAGCAGGAGAAGAACACAGGUUUAGCUUUUCCAUUGGAAGUAACUCCUCACAAAGGGAGAUGGGGAUAGCCACGGAUCAGUCCAGCCUGGCUGAGUCCCAAAGCAGGGUCAGCCUUAACCCUUGCAGUGCCUGGGUGAUGACAAAAUCUCCUUUUCCCAAGCGCUGGGACAGAUUGGACAAUUGGAAUAAUCAGCACUGCUGGGACUUGUUGGGUGCUGUGCUGCUGUCCUGAAUUCCCAAAAAGAAACGGGCUGCUUCCCAUGAGGGCUCAUAUCAGCACGGCGGGGGAGUUUGGGCAGGGAUUUUAGGCCAGGCUGGUGCUAAUUGAGAGAAGAUGAGGUGUCUGUGUGUAUAUAUGUGAAUGUGAAGGGGUUCCACACGUGCUCUAAACCCUCACAAAGCACCCAAACCUUCCCCUGACACCCCACAGCCACUCAGGUUUGUGGGGCUGGAGGGGGGAGCCUGUUCCUCCUGUGCCCCCACAGCCCCGAAGCAGCACCCAGAGAGGCCAAAUUCCUUUUGCAGGGUCUCAACCUGAGCUGCACUUGAAAGCUGGGGGGGUUAAACCCAGCAGAGGCAGGCUCAGGUCUUUGGCUCACAGAUUCUUUGUACAGCUCCUCCAGACUUCAGCAGGGACAGAGCUGGGAGCAGCCCCAGCCCUGGCUCUGAAUUUCCUCGUGUUGGUGCACAAGGGGAGAUUACCAGGGAGAGCAGAAGGCUGCACCCUGAACUCCUUGGGCACACCUCGUACAUCUCCUCUCUUUGUUUUCCCUCACAUCCCCAUCCCAAACCCUGUGCAAGCCUUUGACUGCCUGCAAACCUGCAGUGGGACUGCUACAAUUCCUUUAUAAUUCUCUUUUUUUUUUUUUUUUCCCUACAGAAACACAAGGGACAAACACAAUAAUUUCCAAGAAGCCAAAGCUUCCCUUUGGAGAAGCCAACAGGGACCUGCAGCAGAGUCCUGGUACGGUGUGUCAGUGACACUGAUUCCAUCUGACACCUGGGUGUCUCCAAAGCCAUCACAUUGUGUGCUGCAAAUGUAUAUUAACAUUAGUAUGCAUUGGCACAAUAUGGAUCCAUUAUUCCAAACGCUUCUGAGGACUAGGUGCUGCGUAGGAGCAGCUGCUGCUUUUUAAGCCUCAGAGCAUCAAUAGAUUCAUAGAUUUUAGGGCCAGAAGGGACCCCAGCGAGCCUGGAGCCUGACCUCCCACGGAGUGUGGGCUGGGGGUGAUUUUUGUGUCCUGCCCCACAACCUGUGGGCAGGCAGGCAGCAGCCUCCCCUGCGGCCAGCUGAGGGUUGAUGCCUCCCUCUGUAAAUUUGUUCCCUUGUUUUAGCACUCUCCUCGUUAAUCCUAAAAGGGCAGAUUUUAAUUUCAAAGCUCGGCUUGUGUAGGUCCAGCUUUCCACCCCUUGGAUUGCCUCCUCUGUAUAAGGAAACCCAUUUUCUCGCUUUUGUUGAAGUAGCGGCGGUGUUGGAGAAAAUAAAAAAAAAAUCAAUGUCCUGGAAUGUUGUCUAGAAAAAGGAUUGGUACUUCUUAAGGGUGGAAAUGGUACCUGGCAAGUGUUCAAAUUUUGGGUGAUUCCCUGACUGUAAGCACUUCAGCUUUAGUCUUUGUUUAAAAAGAAAUAAAUCUGCAUUUUGUAGAGAGGGGUGAUGCUGGAGGACUUUGGGUUUAUAGUGCUUCCAGAAAAUGAAAGCAAAGAGAGAAUGAAAACCCACUAAAUCAAUGAAAUAAAAAGAGCUGAAAGUCCUA